This 466-nucleotide ribosomal RNA is filed under the name uncultured bacterium. Its description in RNAcentral is "partial 16S ribosomal RNA". It matches the Rfam family "Bacterial small subunit ribosomal RNA", at positions 28 to 507 of the family's 1533-position model. The record is from RNAcentral.
GACGAACGCUGGCGGCGUGCUUAACACAUGCAAGUCGAACGGAAAGGCUCCAGCUUGCUGGAGUACUCGAGUGGCGAACGGGUGAGUAACACGUGGGUAAUCUGCCCUGCACUCUGGGAUAAGCCUGGGAAACUGGGUCUAAUACUGGAUAUGACCUUUCUCCUUAUGGGGUUUGGUGGAAAGUUUUUCGGUGUAGGAUGAGCCCGCGGCCUAUCAGCUUGUUGGUGGGGUGAUGGCCUACCAAGGCGACGACGGGUAGCCGGCCUGAGAGGGUGAUCGGCCACAUUGGGACUGAGAUACGGCCCAGACUCCUACGGGAGGCAACAGUGGGGAAUAUUGCACAAUGGGCGGAAGCCUGAUGCAGCGACGCCGCGUGAGGGAUGACGGCCUUCGGGUUGUAAACCUCUUUCAGCAGGGACGAAGCGUAAGUGACGGUACCUGCAGAAGAAGCACCGGCUACUAUGUG